CUUUAGACCAAGGCUCAUAGGGUAGUGCACUAAUUUAGACCAGGGCCAUAGGGUAGUGCACUACUUUAGACCAGGGCCCAUAGGGUAGUGCACUACUUUAGACCAGGACCAUAGGGGUAGUGCACUACUUUAGACCAGGGCCUAUAGGGGUAGUGCACUACUUUAGACUAGAGCCCAUAGGGGUAGUGCACUACUUUAGACCAGGGCCUAUAGGGGUAGUGCACUACUUUAGACCAGGGCCAUAGGGGUAGUGCACUACUUUAGACCAGGGCCAUAGGG
This is a long non-coding RNA of Salvelinus fontinalis (brook trout), 279 nucleotides long. RefSeq lists it as uncharacterized. NCBI's taxonomy places the organism in Eukaryota, Metazoa, Chordata, Actinopteri, Salmoniformes, Salmonidae. The record is from RefSeq and is a predicted model, not a curated record. The transcript is spliced from 3 exons.